This 395-nucleotide ribosomal RNA is filed under the name uncultured bacterium. Its description in RNAcentral is "bacterial SSU rRNA". It matches the Rfam family "Bacterial small subunit ribosomal RNA", at positions 505 to 898 of the family's 1533-position model. The record is from RNAcentral.
GUGUCAGCAGCCGCGGUAAUACGUAGGGGGCAAGCGUUGUCCGGAAUUAUUGGGCGUAAAGAGCGUGUAGGCGGUUCGAUUAGUCUGCUGUAAAAGUCGAGGGCUCAACCCUCGAAAGCCGGUAGAUACUGUCGAGCUAGAGUACGGAAGAGGCGAGUGGAAUUCCUAGUGUAGCGGUGAAAUGCGCAGAUAUUAGGAGGAACACCAAUUGCGAAGGCAGCUCGCUGGGACGUUACUGACGCUGAGACGCGAAAGCGUGGGGAGCAAACAGGAUUAGAUACCCUGGUAGUCCACGCUGUAAACGAUGGGCACUAGGUGUGGGGGGUGUCGACUCCCCCCGUGCCGGAGUUAACGCAUUAAGUGCCCCGCCUGGGGAGUACGGCCGCAAGGCUAAA